CAAGUGUGCCCUUUCCUUCUUGACUUUUUAGCAGUUCUGGGUAAAUAUUGAUUUGCCCCCAGUUUACCUUCUCCCUGACUGGCCAUUUGCAGACUCAGGAACUAGCCUCUGUAGGGACUUGAUUUUUCUGUUACUUUCUGGCCGUUUCACCACCCCCCUUCCUCCCUCCAAGUGGCAUUGUAAAACUCACAGUGACAAAGAGACAGAGUAGGGUUCGAGGACCCUGUUCCUGGGGACUUGAAGGCGGUUUUACAUACGGGUCAGACACGGCUGGAGGCCAAGGUCAAGUUGAAAGUUGCAGUCCAGCCAGCAUGAGAAUUGCCAUGCAAGCGUAGAGACACAGGCAGCAGCAAAAGGCCCAUUGCCCACAUCCCCUCACUCUUAAUUUUCUCUCUCUUUUUAAAAUUCUCGGCUCUGACUCUGUUCGGCUGCCCAGAAUUUUUUGGUGCCUUCGUGGGGUUUUUGGGGCGGUGUUCACCGACUCUUCUUCUCUGCCUCCGCCCUGCUUAGCCAGGGCUUUGAGCCUCUUAGGUUUUCCAGCCAGACCCGGAAAAACGAAAACACAGCUUGGGGAGCCCCCACUAGCCGGCGCCUGUGCCAGCUCACCUCUGGCCAUGGCGCAGCUGCCGGUGCACACGGCGGCCAAGGCCAGCUCCACAUUCUUCCCUCCCCUCCCACUUCACCGGAGCCCCGAACCCUGCGCGCAGAGAAAGGGUCUCAGCUCCACAGACGACUGGGUCCCUCCUCACCAAAAAUGGUGAGACAAGAUUUCAUCUGUCGGCCGAGGAGCCACAAGCAGGUACCACAAAGCCACUAGCGCACAGGGAUUCAGAAAAGACGGCAGGAGCCCAAGGAAAACUCCAAUUUGAGUACAGCCCUGCCCUGUUUUCCCCAGAGAGUCCCUGAGCAAGGAGACCUCCACCCCACACACACCAUUUCAGAACAAUCAGGUUCCAGACUCCCAUGAGGAGCAUCUCCCACUCCACAGCCUUGGCCAGCCGCGCCCGGACUCCUCAGAGCUGGCGCAAACUCCGGCCUCCAAAACUCGGCUCUGGGAGGCCUAAAUGACUCCGAAGCCGGCGGCGGCCGUGGCAGCGGCCGUGGUGGUGGAAGAGCUCUUUUCCCCGACAGUGCCACUGAUCGCUCUUCACUGGCACUGGAAACAGCCUUCGCGGAAAGGACCGGAGCAUGCGUUAGAAGCAGAGGGAGCUUGGAGAAGGGUUCAGCUGGAAGGAGGAAACGCCUUCUCGCAGUGCGCGGCCAGCCCGCGGGGGACACCGGCUUGCUGGACUGCGGGGGCCUGUGCCACCCAGGGAGUGACCUGCGGGUCACUCAGCCGGGGCGCUGGGCGAGCGCGGGACGGCCCGGAGAAUUCCGUGCGGCUGCGACGGGAAAAGGACGAGGGAUCUCUGUACCCGACGCUGCCACUGGCCCAAAGGAAUUUUACCCGCGAGCGCCCACCCCCACCCUAGCUUGAUGCUUACGCCCGCAACAAAACAGGAAACCAGGACCGGGCAGUGCAUUCUUUAAGUCAACAAAUACACUGAAGACUUCGAGCGUGUGAAGGAAGUAGGGGGUUUGCACGUAAGCCUGGCCCCGCCGGGCUCGGCUUUCUCGCUGAGAAAGCGGCGCAGGCAGCCAGGCGGCCUGGGCCCGCGGGGGUCCAUCUCGCCCUAGACUCCUAAGAACUCCCACGGCCCUGUUCCCAGUUGCGAAUUCUUACUGCACAAAGCGACGGAGGGAAGGAAAUUCACCAGCGCAGCGAGGAGGAAGGUGAACUCAGGACCCCUUCAAGUACACACUGAGGUGUGAUCAGAGUUUUAUGGGCACGUUAUAUGCUGUAAUCAUAACGAUGUGUGUGCCUUGAUAUGCACGCAUAUUCACGCAUCAAACGUGCAUACACACACAGAGUGAAUGUGUGCAUCCAAUGUCAUGUGGGUGAAAUACAGGUAUCAUACCCAGCCCUACGAAAAAAAAUUCGCCCUGUCGGACCAGCCUGGUGACAUACUUCGCUGGUGCAUCUCCUUACUCACUCUUACUUUUCCGACCCCUCACCAUUCCCUCUCCUGUGGCUUGGUAAAUACACCUGUCCUCCGUGGAAGGUGAGUCCUGGACUGGCGUUGCCCGGUUCGCAUGUCCUCCCCAGAACCUCCGUCUGGCCCCAGGGACCCUCACUGAGCGGGUCUAGAGCACCCAGCACUGUUCAAGGAGCAGCCGCUGUUCCUUUGUCCCGCAGCUCCAGCCCCGUUCGGCCCAGCUCUCAGGGAAACGAAGCGCUCAGUAAGAACUUUUGAUAUUAGUUUGUAUGGGUAUUUACACUCUGGUGAGGGGAGCUGAGUACGGAAGCUCCAUUAAUCAUACCCCAACCUCGGGUUUAGAUAUUCAGUUUAUGGGUGGGGAGAGGGAGUUUGCCGGAAAGAAAGCAUCAAGGUUGGCCGCUGACUCCAGAGAAAUGAAAAGGGAGCAAGGUCGUUUUCUGUUUCUGGAAAUCAAGAAUUAGGAAUGGGCAAAUACAGGUGCUAACCAACAGACCACUUUUUUGUUUUUUGGUAGCCCUUUGGCAGGGAUAGUUUUUCCACCUUUGCCCGAUACAAUUUUUUAAAAAAAAUCCUUUUGUUAUGGAAUUUGUCAAACACACACACAAGCAUAACAAACCCCUAUGUAUCCAGCUCCUAGUUUUGACCCCUAUUAUAAUUUCAUCUUCAAUGUUUUAUUAUCCACUUCCUCUCUCUCUGUCUUUAGUAUUUUAAAGUAAAUCCCAGAUAGCAUCACAUCAUUUCACCCCCACCAUAGGAUUUCAAAGAUCUGUUAUAUUUCAAGAUUGAGUAAAAGGGCUUGAAAUUGAGUUAUUGCAAUGAAACUCUAGAAAAAACUUGAGGGUUCACCCAGGAGUAAGCUGGACAAAAAAGGGGUUUGAGGGGUGGACCCAUCUUGCCUAAAAAUCUUGUCUCAUCUUUCUAAAAAUUACAUAUGAAAGAGGAAGAUUUAUGUUACCUUUUUAUGUGAGAGAAUCGUCCUUUAAUAGAAAAUUUCUGUUGCUGCGUCAGAAUUAUGGGGGAACACAAAAAACAUACCUCUGUCCUUAGUGUGUCCUAAAUAAACAUAUAUUCACUUAUUAGUGGGUAAGUGACUAUAUUCUAUUUCAGCACCACUCCUCCCCUGGUAGAAACUCAAAAGAAAUUUCUAAUGAUUAAACUAGGAAAGUUUGCACUGAAUUGAUGGCUCAUCAGAGCAACUGCUGUUUUCAGGAAGAAAUUCAAUGCCAUGCAUUGAAAAUAUCCCCCUAGCAAUAAGGGUUUUUUUUUUUUUUAAAGAAUGAAUAAAGGUGUUAUGGUUUCUUUUGUUUUAA
Molecule: antisense RNA, 3349 nt
Filed under: Pongo abelii (Sumatran orangutan)
Lineage: Eukaryota; Metazoa; Chordata; Mammalia; Primates; Hominidae
Rfam family: HOXA transcript at the distal tip, conserved region 2 (bases 3-378)
Source: RNAcentral